AAUUUUGGGUCAGUGGCCAGCAUCAAUCCCGGCCUGGGAUACUGACAUUCUGUCCCAAUGACAGCUCUCUCUGCCAAUCUUAGAUUCUCCAGCAGCAUUUUAAUAUGACUUGGAUGUGACAGAUGUACAUGCUUUUGUGCCCAGACUUUGUCUUGGAAAGGAGGACAUUGUCUUUUGGAGAGCAAAGAAAGAAUAAUGAUUGCUAAUGAAAUCCAGAGAGAAAGGCACUCUGAUGGUCUUUAUUUUCCAGAUGAAGAAACUAAGGCAAAGCAAGUCUAAGUAUCUCAGCCAAGGUCUCACAUCUGAUACAUGGUAAUGGGUAUACAUCGCAGAAAAAUGAUUAUCACAGCUCAUCUGCCAUAAUCUUCAGAAAGCCAGAUAUCAAAUACCAAAUAAAUCGCCUUCAGAUAAAUUGAGAAACAACUCAUUCUUACUCUGCAGUGUUUGACUUUAUCUGGCAGAAAGAAAGGUAAUUGGCCUAGAGUAACUUUCCUUACCAUCAGACUUGGGUUGUAUCUGCAAAACACACUUGAUGUGGAGUUAUUAGAACAUCACUCACAAUAAUACU
This 568-nucleotide long non-coding RNA is filed under the name Callithrix jacchus (white-tufted-ear marmoset). RNAcentral describes it as "lncRNA (ENSCJAG00000057611.2)". Lineage: Eukaryota; Metazoa; Chordata; Mammalia; Primates; Cebidae. The record is from RNAcentral.